CAUUUUAAUAUCAACUUAACAAUUUCAAUUGAAAUAUACUAUUCAUUUAAACAUAAUUUUUUUCGUUCUGAAAAUUAAAAUUAAAACUAAAUUUGAAUUUACACAAUUAUAAAGUUUAAGCUCAAAUUGAAUAUUAAAUUUAAUUUUAUAAAGGUUUAUUACUUAUCAAAUUAGCACUAUCUAAUUUGGUAAGUAACAAAAUUAAAUAAGGAAACAAAUAUUUGUGUAAGGUUAAUCAAAUUUGGUAAUUAGCUUGUAUUUGUUUUUCCAUAUUACCCUUACGAAAUUUGGUAACCUGUUGAGCAUGUAACUAUUAUGCAAGAGUCAAUCUCGCCCUUAAAAUAUGAACGGCUAGAUUUAAUUUAGCCGGUGUAUUAAAGCAUUCCUCAAAAUCUUAUAUUCGGCCAUCAAGUUAUUUUUCAGAAUAAAAUAAAUCGCAUUGUUGCUAAAAUAUGCUAUCUUACUAAAUAAUGGAUAGCAAGCAAGACUCUUGAAGAAACAAAAAUUAAAGUCUUUAGUUACAAUCAUAUUAAAUAGUUUCCAUAUUUUAAAUAAUUUAUUCUGACAUCCAAACAUGGUCAUACUGCUGUACAUUUGAGAAAUAAGGAGUUUAAUCAAAUGUCUAGAACGGAAUACAUUAUUCGACCUUUGAGUUAUUUUUUAAAAAUAAGAUAAAUCAUCUUUUAGAUAAAAUAUGUUAUCCUAUCACAUUAUGGAUAAAAAAAUCUCAUAAGAACCAAAAAUCAAAUUCCUCACUUACAAUCAUACUAAAAAAUUCAAUUACCUGUUGGGAUCUGAGAAAUAGUGGGUGCACAACACACUAAUGAUAAUAAAAAUAAAGCACAGAAAAGUGACAAAAAUCAUGAAGCUUAGAACAACAAGAUUUAUGUGGUUUGGCCGAAGCCUACGUUCAUAAUGACCAGAGUAAGAAGAAGCUUUAUUAUAAAAUAGUUAAGAGUAUGUGAAACAACCGUUGUACUUUAAAAGUGAGCCCAUAGCGUGGGCUUGAAUUAAAUGGAAGGAAAUUAAUAUGCUAGGAGCCUGGCGUGACUUGAACUCAAGACCUCCAGCUCUGAUACCAUAUGAAACAACCGUUAUACUUUAAAAGCUAAAACUAUUAGAGAAUGGUGUUUAAACAUUUUUAUAUUUAACAGAGUACAAAAUUUUCUUCGAUGGCGAUUUCAAAAGUACAGCUUUUAAUACAAGAAGGAAAAAAAAAAAAAAUCUCCUAAGAAUUCUCGUUGGAACAACCCUGUAAUCAAAGUUGAGCAAACACCUGCAACCGAGGAUGUUCUUCAAUCUCCACUUCCUGGUCGAGACCCUCUCUAAUAAGCCUC
RNAcentral lists this long non-coding RNA (1337 nucleotides) under Ananas comosus (pineapple). RNAcentral describes it as "long non-coding RNA (ACOM_LNC043693)". Lineage: Eukaryota; Viridiplantae; Streptophyta; Magnoliopsida; Poales; Bromeliaceae. The record is from RNAcentral.